UAAGAAGUUACUUAAGGGCGAACGGAGGAUGCCUAGGCUUCUAUGGGCGAAGAAGGACGCGGUAAGCUGCGAAAAACUGCGGGGAUUUGCAAACGAGAGUUGAUCCGCAGGUGUCCGAAUGGGGAAACCCGUCAGGUUGAAGGCCUGACACAUGUUUACAUGAGCCAACGCAGGGAACUGAAACAUCUUAGUACCUGCAGGAAAAGAAAGAAAAAUCGAUUCUCUGAGUAGUGGCGAGCGAAAGGGGAACAGCCCAAACCGGGUUUGUUGCGGCAAAUUCGGGGUUGUAGGACUGCGACACUUUAUCUUAGUAAGAAGUGGAACAAAUUGGAAAAUUUGGUCGAAGAGGGUGAUAAUCCCGUACACGUAAAGACUAAGAUAGACAGCAGUAUCCUGAGUAAGGCGGGACACGAGGAAUCCUGUCUGAAUUUGCGGGGACCAUCCCGUAAGGCUAAAUACCAAUAGAAGACCGAUAGUGAACCAGUACUGUGAAGGAAAGGUGAAAAGUACCCCGAACAGGGGGGUGAAAAAGAACCUGAAACCGUUCGCUUACAAGCGGUCGGAGUCCCUUAGGGGAUGACGGCGUGCCUUUUGCAUAAUGAGCCUACGAGUUGCAUCUCACUAGCGAGGUUAAGUACUUAAGGUACGGAGCCGAAGCGAAAGCGAGUCUGAACAGGGCGCUUAGUUAGUGGGAGCAGACGCGAAACCUUGUGAUCUACCCUUGACCAGGUUGAAGGAGCCGUAACAGGCUGUGGAGGACCGAACCAGUUUCCGUUGAAAAGGAUUUGGAUGAGUUGAGGGUAGGGGUGAAAGGCUAAUCAAACUGGGAGAUAGCUCGUACUCCCCGAAAUGUCUUUUGGGACAGCCUCGAGUAAUAGCUUAUCGGAGGUAGAGCUACUGAUAGGAUGCGAGGGCUUCAUCGCCUAUCAAUUCCUGACAAACUCCGAAUGCCGGUAAGUGUUUCUCGGGAGUGAGUCGUUGGGUGCUAAUGUCCGGCGGCGAGAGGGAAAGAGCCCAGACCAACAGCUAAGGCCCUAAAACGUGUGUUAAGUUGAUAGAACGAUGUCUGGUUGCAGCGACAGCUAGGAUGUUAGCUUGGAAGCAGCUAUUCAUUUAAAGAGUGCGUAACAGCUCACUAGUCGAGCGACCGGGCGUGGAUAAUAAUCGGGCAUCAAGCACACUGCCGAAGCUAUGGACUGUAUUUAUAUAGUGGUAGGGGAGCAUUCCAUUCAGCGCAGAAGGUAAACCGUGAGGUUUGCUGGAGUGUAUGGAAAAGAAGAUGUAGGCAUAAGUAACGAUAAUGCAGGCGAGAAACCUGCACACCGAAAACCCAAGGUUUCCUGAUCAACGUUAAUCGGAUCAGGGUCAGUCGGGGCCUAAGGGGAAGCCGAAAGGCGGACCUGAUGGACAAAUGGUUAAUAUUCCAUUACCUGUAUAUCGAGUUAAGGAGAGACGGAGUAGUGACACACACGCCAGCUGACGGAAUAGCUGGUUGAAGGCCGUAGGUAGACGACCGGGUUAACAGCCUGGUAGUGCUGAUGGCUUACAGUACACAGAUUCUUCGGAUGAAGUGAUAGUUGUGGUAAACAGACUUCCAAGAAAAUCUCCGGCGCGUUAAUUGAUAUACAGCCCGUACCGUAAACCGACACAGGUGGGUGAGGAGAGAAUCCUAAGGUGCUCGAGUGAAUCAUGGCUAAGGAACUCGGCAAAUUAACCCCGUAACUUCGGGAGAAGGGGACCCUAGAGAUAGGGCGCAGAGAAAUGGCCCAGGCGACUGUUUAACAAAAACACAGGGCUUUGCUAAAUCGAAAGAUGAAGAAUAAGGCCUGACACCUGCCCGGUGCUGGAAGGUUAAGAGGGGAUGUUAGCGCAAGCGAAGCAUUGAAUCGAAGCCCCAGUAAACGGCGGCCGUAACUAUAACGGUCCUAAGGUAGCGAAAUUCCUUGUCGGGUAAGUUCCGACCUGCACGAAUGGUGUAACGAUCUGGGUACUGUCUCAGCCAUGAGCUCGGUGAAAUUGUAGUAACGGUGAAGAUGCCGUUUACCCGCAACGGGACGGAAAGACCCCGUGAACCUUUACUGCAACUUAGCGCUGAUUUUGGGUAAUUGAUGUGUAGGAUAGGUGGGAGACUGCGAAGCAGGUACGCCAGUAUUUGUGGAGUCAAUGUUGAAAUACCACCCUUUGAUUAUUUGGAAUCUAACUUCGAGAGAAAGACACCGCUUGGUGGGUAGUUUGACUGGGGUGGUCGCCUCCAAAAGAGUAACGGAGGCUUCCCAAGGUGCACUCCGCACGAAUGGUAACCGUGCAAAGAGUAUAUUGGUACAAGUGCGCUUGACUGUGAGACAUACAAGUCGACCAGGUACGAAAGUAGGGCAAAGUGAUCCGGUGGUUCCGCAUGGGUGGGCCAUCGCUCAAAGGAUAAAAGGUACUCCGGGGAUAACAGGCUGAUCGCUCCCAAGAGCUCAAAUCGACGGAGCGGUUUGGCACCUCGAUGUCGGCUCGUCACAUCCUGGGGCUGGAGCAGGUCCCAAGGGUUCGGCUGUUCGCCGAUUAAAGUGGCACGCGAGCUGGGUUCAGAACGUCGUGAGACAGUUCGGUCCCUAUCUGUUGUGGGCGUAGGAAGUUUGAGGGGGUCUGACCUUAGUACGAGAGGACCGGGUUGGACGCACCGCUAGUUUACCGGUUGUGGCGCCAGCUGCACCGCCGGGUAGCUAUGUGCGGUUUAGAUAAGCGCUGAAAGCAUCUAAGCGCGAAGCUAGCCCCAAGAUGAGACUUCCCUUGAGGGUCGUGGGAGACUACCACGUUGAUAGGCUGUAGGUGUAAAGGCAGUAAUGUCAAAGCCGAGCAGUACUAAUAGCCCGAUAGGCUUCUUAUA
Molecule: ribosomal RNA, 2875 nt
Organism: Bacteroidales bacterium CF
Lineage: Bacteria; Pseudomonadati; Bacteroidota; Bacteroidia; Bacteroidales
Rfam family: Bacterial large subunit ribosomal RNA
Source: Rfam